Molecule: ribosomal RNA, 484 nt
Filed under: uncultured bacterium
Lineage: Bacteria
Description: partial 16S ribosomal RNA
Rfam family: Bacterial small subunit ribosomal RNA
Source: RNAcentral
AUUGAACGCUGGCGGCAUGCUUUACACAUGCAAGUCGAACGGCAGCACGGGCUUCGGCCUGGUGGCGAGUGGCGAACGGGUGAGUAAUAUAUCGGAACGUACCCAGAAGUGGGGGAUAACGUAGCGAAAGUUACGCUAAUACCGCAUACGAUCUAUGGAUGAAAGCAGGGGACCGCAAGGCCUUGUGCUCCUGGAGCGGCCGAUAUCUGAUUAGCUAGUUGGUGAGGUAAAGGCUCACCAAGGCGACGAUCAGUAGCUGGUCUGAGAGGACGACCAGCCACACUGGAACUGAGACACGGUCCAGACUCCUACGGGAGGCAGCAGUGGGGAAUUUUGGACAAUGGGCGCAAGCCUGAUCCAGCAAUGCCGCGUGAGUGAAGAAGGCCUUCGGGUUGUAAAGCUCUUUUGCCAGGGAAGAAACGGUAGAGGCUAAUAUCCUUUGCUAAUGACGGUACCUGAAGAAUAAGCACCGGCUAACUACGUG